GGCGGACGGGUGAGUAACGCGUGGGUAACCUGCCUCAUACAGGGGGAUAACAGUUAGAAAUGACUGCUAAUACCGCAUAAGACCACGGUACCGCAUGGUACAGUGGUAAAAACUCCGGUGGUAUGAGAUGGACCCGCGUCUGAUUAGGUAGUUGGUGGGGUAACGGCCUACCAAGCCGACGAUCAGUAGCCGACCUGAGAGGGUGACCGGCCACAUUGGGACUGAGACACGGCCCAGACUCCUACGGGAGGCAGCAGUGGGGAAUAUUGCACAAUGGAGGAAACUCUGAUGCAGCGACGCCGCGUGAAGGAUGAAGUAUUUCGGUAUGUAAAC
Molecule: ribosomal RNA, 333 nt
Filed under: uncultured bacterium
Lineage: Bacteria
Description: bacterial SSU rRNA
Rfam family: Bacterial small subunit ribosomal RNA
Source: RNAcentral